UACGUAGGGGGCGAGCGUUGUCCGGAUUUACUGGGCGUAAAGAGCGCGUAGGCGGCCACCUAAGUUGGCUGUGAAAUCUCCUGGCUUAACUGGGAGGGGUCGGUCGAGACUGGGUGGCUUGAGGGCGGUAGAGGAAGGUGGAAUUCCGGGUGUAGUGGUGAAAUGCGUAGAGAUCCGGAGGAACACCAGUGGCGAAGGCGGCCUUCUGGGCCGUACCUGACGCUGAGGCGCGAAAGCGUGGGGAG
Molecule: ribosomal RNA, 245 nt
Filed under: uncultured bacterium
Lineage: Bacteria
Description: partial 16S ribosomal RNA
Rfam family: Bacterial small subunit ribosomal RNA
Source: RNAcentral